This is a long non-coding RNA of Homo sapiens (human), 261 nucleotides long. RefSeq lists it as uncharacterized. The transcript has 3 exons. Lineage: Eukaryota; Metazoa; Chordata; Mammalia; Primates; Hominidae. The record is from RefSeq and is a predicted model, not a curated record.
UCCUCUACUUCUCCCUGAUAAUAACAGAUUAACCAGACUAUUACACGUAAGGCAUUUAGCCUAACACAGCAUCUGAAUAAAUGUUUCUUCAAGUGAACUAAAGAGGAAGGGAACUAAUAUUUGCUGAGCAGAGCUUGACCCACUUAAAACUCACAGCAACCCUGCAAGGUGUUAUAUUUUGCUUUUAUAGAUUUCUUUCGAGACCCUUCCCAUCACCUAAAGAAUUUCUUUAAUAAUAAAUUAUAAACUUCAAAGUCCUCA